RNAcentral lists this unclassified non-coding RNA (528 nucleotides) under Hevea brasiliensis (rubber tree). The record is from RNAcentral. Lineage: Eukaryota; Viridiplantae; Streptophyta; Magnoliopsida; Malpighiales; Euphorbiaceae.
AAAAAAAAAAAAAAAACCAUCAUUUGAUCAGCUUUAUUAGUUUCAGUACAUCCACUCCAAAAAGAUUAAAAUGGGGUUUUCAAACUUCUUUGUGAUUACUGUUACCUAUUUAUGACCAAAACAAGAAACUUGUUCACUCUUGGACCUGUGAUACUUAUAGCUAAUUCGAUGUAGCUAGUGAUCUUUAACAUUGAUUUAAUUAGUCUUUUUUGCUAAUAUACGAAGUAUCCUUUCCUUUUAACUCUUCUAAAUAACAAUUGGCAUACACAUGAUUGCCCUUUUUUCCAAGGAAAAAAAGGUAAAAACUAAAUAUAACAGCCACAAAAAAAUGUGAAAAAGAAACCCUAGGUUUAGAGAUAUACAUAUAGUUGAUGGAGUUUAAAAAUCAACUUGCAUAAAAAAUCCAAAUUGAACAAUGAUCAAAUGGGCAUAAAUACAACUUUGUUAAUAAGACAAAACAAUCAUUGGAUCUUUUGAUCUUGGAGACUUGGACACUAUAGCUGCCAAUGAACAGUCUUUGUUUCUCAU